This 548-nucleotide ribosomal RNA is filed under the name Chaetomium megalocarpum. RNAcentral describes it as "eukaryotic LSU rRNA". The stretch from base 174 to 327 matches the Rfam family "5.8S ribosomal RNA". The record is from RNAcentral. Lineage: Eukaryota; Fungi; Ascomycota; Sordariomycetes; Sordariales; Chaetomiaceae.
GUCAGAGUGGCAAGCACCCUAAACCAUUGUGACGCUACCUAAACCGUUGCUUCGGCGGGCGGCCCCGGGGUUCUCCCCGGGCGCCCCUGGGCCCCAUCGCGGGCGCCCGCCGGAGGUCACCAAACUCUUGAUAAUUUAUGGCCUCUCUGAGUCUUCUGUACUGAAUAAGUCAAAACUUUCAACAACGGAUCUCUUGGUUCUGGCAUCGAUGAAGAACGCAGCGAAAUGCGAUAAGUAAUGUGAAUUGCAGAAUUCAGUGAAUCAUCGAAUCUUUGAACGCACAUUGCGCCCGCCAGUAUUCUGGCGGGCAUGCCUGUUCGAGCGUCAUUUCAACCAUCAAGCCCCCGGCUUGUGUUGGGGACCUGCGGCUGCCGCAGGCCCCGAAAAGCAGUGGCGGGCUCGCUGUCACACCGAGCGUAGUAGCAUACAUCUCGCUCUGGGCGUGCUGCGGGUUCCGGCCGUUAAACCACCUUCAUAACCCAAGGUUGACCUCGGAUCAGGUAGGAAGACCCGCUGAACUUAAGCAUAUCAAUAAGCGAGAGGGAAAA